CAGCUGGGUCACUGACUGACUAAAAGCUAUACAGUGUGGCAGAUAAAUUCUGAGAAACAGAGGCUCACAGAAUCUAGAACUACAGUUCCAGAAUGACAGUUACAUAAUACACUGUAGUAAUUUCAAUAAAGAGAAAUUAUAGCUAAAUAAACAAGAUAUUUUAAGUUAUUAUUUUGUUUUUCUCCAAAAGGUCGUUACUGAAGAAAAACUAAUUUCUUGAACAUGUUUUCCUAUCUUCUGUCACAGGGGCGUGAGAAAGAUCCUACUUUUUACUAUACUGCAAGGAAGAAGAGCGCAACAAAGCAGAAAAGAGAAGGAUGUAUUCCGCGUCUGGGUUUAGCUGUGCCAAACAUCUAUAUAUUUGUGAAGGACAGAACUGUUUUUGUUUUGUUGUCUCAAAGCUUGCUUCCUGAGGCCUUUCUGAUGAUAAGACUCUGACUGGCGACUUCUAACUAUCUAGGAGGGUGAGUGGUGGUUGUUAUUGUGACACAGUACCUUUGCUUAUGAUUGCAAAGAUAAGCAGGAGCAGGACAAGCUGUCUUUUUCCAGGGGUG
Molecule: long non-coding RNA, 554 nt
Filed under: Coturnix japonica (Japanese quail)
Lineage: Eukaryota; Metazoa; Chordata; Aves; Galliformes; Phasianidae
Description: lncRNA (ENSCJPG00005004605.1)
Source: RNAcentral